Molecule: RNase P RNA, 344 nt
Filed under: Aminicella lysinilytica
Lineage: Bacteria; Bacillati; Bacillota; Clostridia; Peptostreptococcales; Anaerovoracaceae
Description: Eubacteriaceae bacterium WN037 Bacterial RNase P class A
Rfam family: Bacterial RNase P class A
About the family: Ribonuclease P (RNase P) is a ubiquitous endoribonuclease, found in archaea, bacteria and eukarya as well as chloroplasts and mitochondria. Its best characterised activity is the generation of mature 5'-ends of tRNAs by cleaving the 5'-leader elements of precursor-tRNAs.
Source: Rfam by way of RNAcentral
UGGGUAGACCAGAUGAUCGCGUGCGCAAGCAUGAGGAAAGUCCGGGCUCCACAGAGCAAGGAUGCCGAGAUAACGUCCGGCGUAGGUAACUAUAGGGAAAGUGCAACAGAAACACACCGCCGAAACGGGUAAUGCCGUGGUAAGGUUGAAAUGGUGAGGUAAGAGCUCACCGGCGUCAUGGAAACAUGGCGGCCGUGUAAACCCCAUCCGGAGCAAGGUCGAAAGGGCAGUAAGACGGUUGCUCGCCGUCGCCCGGUAGGUGGACCGCAAGAGCGUGCAGCGAUGUUACGCCUCAGAUAGAUGAUCGUCUAAUACAGAACCCGGCUUAUAGGGCUACCCAUGAU